AGCAGCCGCGGUAAUUCCAGCUCCAAUAGCGUAUAUUAAAGUUGUUGCAGUUAAAAAGCUCGUAGUUGAAUUUCGGGGUCAAUACGUCGGUCGUGCCUCCGGUACGUACUGACGUCGUUGAUUCCUCCUUUCUGAUGAGCCACGAUGUCAUUAAUUUGGUGUUGUGGGGAGUCAGGACUGUUAUUUUGAAAAAAUUAGAGUGUUUAAAGCAGGCAAACGCUUGAAUACAUUAGCAUGGAAUAAUGAAAUAGGACGUUCGAACCUAUUUUGUUGGUUUCUAGGAUCAACGUAAUGAUUAAUAGGGAUAGUUGGGGGCAUUAGUAUUCAAUUGUCAGAGGUGAAAUUCUUGGAUUUAUUGAAGACUAACUACUGCGAAAGCAUUUGCCAAGGAUGUUUUCAUUAAUCAAGAACGAAAGUUAGGGGAUCGAAGACGAUCAGAUACCGUCGUAGUCUUAACCAUAAACUAUGCCGACUAGGGAUCGGAUGAAGUUAAUUUUUAAUGACUCAUUCGGCGCCUUAC
This 520-nucleotide ribosomal RNA is filed under the name uncultured Glomus. Its description in RNAcentral is "SSU rRNA". It matches the Rfam family "Eukaryotic small subunit ribosomal RNA", at positions 569 to 1091 of the family's 1831-position model. Lineage: Eukaryota; Fungi; Glomeromycota; Glomeromycetes; Glomerales; Glomeraceae. The record is from RNAcentral.